AACGCGAAGAACCUUACCUACCCUUAUCAUGGUCGGAAUCCUGCUGAGAGGUGGGAGUGCUCGAAAGAGAACCGGCGCACAGGUGCUGCAUGGCUGUCGUCAGCUGGUGUCGUGAGAUGUUGGGUUAAGUCCCGCAACGAGCGCAUCCCUUGUCCUUAGUUGCUACGCAAGAGCACUAUAAGGAGACUGCCGGUGACAAACCGGAGGAAGGUGGGGAUGACGUCAAGUCCUCAUGGCCCUUAUGGGUAGGGCUUCCCCCGUCAUCCAAUGGUCGUACCAGAGGGUUCCCAACCCGCGAGGGGGAGCUAAUCCCAGAAACCCCUUCCUAGUCCGGAUUGCACUCUGCAACUCGAGUCCAUGAAGCUGGAAUCGCUAGUAAUCGCGGAUCAGCAUUCC
Molecule: ribosomal RNA, 396 nt
Filed under: Burkholderia sp. TU59
Lineage: Bacteria; Pseudomonadati; Pseudomonadota; Betaproteobacteria; Burkholderiales; Burkholderiaceae
Description: bacterial SSU rRNA
Rfam family: Bacterial small subunit ribosomal RNA
Source: RNAcentral